GACGAACGCUGGCGGCAGGCUUAACACAUGCAAGUCGAGCGGGGUGAUGGUGCUUGCACUAUCACUUAGCGGCGAACGGGUGAGUAAUGCUUAGGAAUCUGCCUAUUAGUGGGGGACAACAUCUCGAAAGGGAUGCUAAUACCGCAUACGUCCUACGGGAGAAAGCAGGGGAUCACUUGUGACCUUGCGCUAAUAGAUGAGCCUAAGUCGGAUUAGCUAGUUGGUGGGGUAAAGGCCUACCAAGGCGACGAUCUGUAGCGGGUCUGAGAGGAUGGUCCGCCAGACCGGGGCUGAGACCCGGCCCAGACUCCUACGGGAGGCAGAAGUGGGGAAUAUUGGACAAUGGGGGGAACCCUGAUCCAGCCAUGCCGCGUGUGUGAAGAAGGCCUUAUGGUUGUAAAGCACUUUAAGCGAGGAGGAGGCUCUUUUGGUUAAUGCCCAAGAUGAGUGGACGUUACUCGCAGAAUAAGCACCGGCUAACUCUGUGCCAGCAGCCGCCGUAA
Molecule: ribosomal RNA, 503 nt
Filed under: uncultured bacterium
Lineage: Bacteria
Description: partial 16S ribosomal RNA
Rfam family: Bacterial small subunit ribosomal RNA
Source: RNAcentral